UAUGGAGAGUUUGAUCCUGGCUCAGAGUGAACGCUGGCGGCGUGCCUAAUACAUGCAAGUCGAACGAUGAAGCUUCUAGCUUGCUAGAAGUGGAUUAGUGGCGCACGGGUGAGUAAUGCAUAGGUAACAUGCCCUUUAGUCUGGGAUAGCCACUGGAAACGGUGAUUAAUACUAGAUACUCCCUACGGGGGAAAGUUUUUCGCUAAAGGAUUGGCCUAUGUCCUAUCAGCUUGUUGGUGAGGUAAUGGCUCACCAAGGCUAUGACGGGUAUCCGGCCUGAGAGGGUGAUCGGACACACUGGAACUGAGACACGGUCCAGACUCCUACGGGAGGCAGCAGUAGGGAAUAUUGCUCAAUGGGGGAAACCCUGAAGCAGCAACGCCGCGUGGAGGAUGAAGGUUUUAGGAUUGUAAACUCCUUUUGUUAGAGAAGAUGAUGACGGUAUCUAACGAAUAAGCACCGGCUAACUCCGUGCCAGCAGCCGCGGUAAUACGGAGGGUGCAAGCGUUACUCGGAAUCACUGGGCGUAAAGAGCGCGUAGGCGGGAUAAUAAGUCAGAUGUGAAAUCCUAUGGCUUAACCAUAGAACUGCAUUUGAAACUGUUAUUCUAGAGUAUGGGAGAGGUAGGUGGAAUUCUUGGUGUAGGGGUAAAAUCCGUAGAGAUCAAGAGGAAUACUCAUUGCGAAGGCGACCUGCUGGAACAUUACUGACGCUGAUGCGCGAAAGCGUGGGGAGCAAACAGGAUUAGAUACCCUGGUAGUCCACGCCCUAAACGAUGAAUGCUAGUUGUUGGGGUGCUUGUCACUCCAGUAAUGCAGCUAACGCAUUAAGCAUUCCGCCUGGGGAGUACGGUCGCAAGAUUAAAACUCAAAGGAAUAGACGGGGACCCGCACAAGCGGUGGAGCAUGUGGUUUAAUUCGAUGCUACGCGAAGAACCUUACCUAGGCUUGACAUUGAUAGAAUCUGCUAGAGAUAGCGGAGUGCUGGCUUGCCAGAGCUUGAAAACAGGUGCUGCACGGCUGUCGUCAGCUCGUGUCGUGAGAUGUUGGGUUAAGUCCCGCAACGAGCGCAACCCUCGUCCUUAGUUGCUAGCAGUUCGGCUGAGCACUCUAGGGAGACUGCCUUCGUAAGGAGGAGGAAGGUGAGGACGACGUUAAGUCAUCAUGGCCCUUACGCCUAGGGCUACACACGUGCUACAAUGGGGUGCACAAAGAGAUGCAAUACUGUGAAGUGGAGCCAAUCUCAAAAACAUCUCUCAGUUCGGAUUGUAGUCUGCAACUCGACUACAUGAAGCUGGAAUCGCUAGUAAUCGUGAAUCAGCCAUGUCACGGUGAAUACGUUCCCGGGUCUUGUACUCACCGCCCGUCACACCAUGGGAGUUGUAUUUGCCUUAAGUCGGAAUGCUAAACUGGCUACCGCCCACGGCAGAUGCAGCGACUGGGGUGAAGUCGUAACAAGGUAACCGUAGGUGAACCUGCGGUUGGAUCACCUCCUUU
Molecule: ribosomal RNA, 1496 nt
Filed under: Helicobacter sp. TUL
Lineage: Bacteria; Pseudomonadati; Campylobacterota; Epsilonproteobacteria; Campylobacterales; Helicobacteraceae
Description: bacterial SSU rRNA
Rfam family: Bacterial small subunit ribosomal RNA
Source: RNAcentral